This 378-nucleotide ribosomal RNA is filed under the name uncultured cyanobacterium. RNAcentral describes it as "bacterial SSU rRNA". It matches the Rfam family "Bacterial small subunit ribosomal RNA", at positions 376 to 770 of the family's 1533-position model. The record is from RNAcentral. Lineage: Bacteria; Bacillati; Cyanobacteriota.
CGCAAGCCUGACGGAGCACGCCGCGUGUGGGAAGAAGGCUCUUGGGCUGUCAACCACUUUUCUCAGGGAAGAAGCCCUGACGGUACCUGAGGAAUCAGCCUCGGCUAACUCCGUGCCAGCAGCCGCGGUAAUACGGAGGAGGCAAGCGUUAUCCGGAAUUAUUGGGCGUAAAGCGUCCGCAGGGGGCAUAUCAAGUCUGCUGUUAAAGGCUGGAGCUUAACUCCGGUAGAGCAGUGGAAACUGGUGUGCUAGAGGGCGACAGGGGUAGAGGGAAUUCCCAGUGUAGCGGUGAAAUGCGUAGAGAUUGGGAAGAACACCGGUGGCGAAAGCGCUCUACUGGGUCGCACCUGACCCUCGGGGACGAAAGCUAAGGUAGCG